Transfer RNA from Jaapia argillacea, 91 nucleotides. It matches the Rfam family "tRNA". From Rfam's summary of the family: Transfer RNA (tRNA) molecules are approximately 80 nucleotides in length. NCBI's taxonomy places the organism in Eukaryota, Fungi, Basidiomycota, Agaricomycetes, Jaapiales, Jaapiaceae. The record is from Rfam.
GUCACUAUGGCCGAGUGGUUAAGGCGACAGAUUCGAAUUUCUACUUAUCUGUUUCCCUCUGGGAGCGCAGGUUCAAAUCCUGCUGGUGACG